UGAUGGCACUCUGGGUGAGGGGGUGGGAGAAGCCUGUUGCAAAGCGCAGCACCGCCACGUAGCCCUUCCCGAAGUACCGGACCUUCUCCUCCUCCACAUUCACAUCCUGGAUGUCAUUCAGCAGGACCACCACUGUGAGGGGGGCAGAUGGCUUCCUGGAAAACCAGCCAGAAGGCGGUCCCUCCGUUGCUGGCCUCUGUGCGCUGGCCAACCACACAAACCCUGGGGGAUCCUGGGCCUGCCCACCGUAUCCCCACCCUCAGCAGCGCAGACAUGCAGGAAGGGGGUAAUCCCACUUCCUUCCCAUCCAGUCAGAACCCCAAGCAGAAAAAAGUAAGUAUAGUGGCUGAAGUUCUUCAAAUGAGAGAACAGAGGUCAGAAAGCAGCUCAAAGGACUCAUCAAGAGGACUGAGGUGAGCGGAGGGUGCUGGUCACUUUGGCAGCGGACACCCUCUGUUCCACUAUGCUACCGCGACACUCUGAGAGCCUGGGUAAAAACAGUCAUGACGAGCUUCCCAGAGAAAAACGCCUUCAGAGGAUCCUUAGGGAUGGUUGCAGACAGGUGACGGCCAGGGCCAGGGUCAGCUAACAAGAUGCCACUAAACUAAAGCGCCAGAGCAGGGGUGUCAGGCCCCGGAGCCUGCCUGCCUGCUGUUACCCUCAGCAGGGACACCGGGCAGGGAACCUAGCGCCCUUGCCUGUG
Manis pentadactyla (Chinese pangolin) is the source of this 703-nucleotide long non-coding RNA. RefSeq lists it as uncharacterized. The transcript has 3 exons. The record is from RefSeq and is a predicted model, not a curated record. NCBI's taxonomy places the organism in Eukaryota, Metazoa, Chordata, Mammalia, Pholidota, Manidae.